GGGCGAGUGUCGGAACUGGUAGACGAUCACGCCUCAAAAGCGUGUGGGAGCAAUCCCGUGAGGGUUCGACCCCCUCCUCGCCCA
Molecule: transfer RNA, 84 nt
Filed under: Patescibacteria group bacterium
Lineage: Bacteria
Also listed under: 1 other name
Description: tRNA-Leu
Rfam family: tRNA
About the family: Transfer RNA (tRNA) molecules are approximately 80 nucleotides in length. Their secondary structure includes four short double-helical elements and three loops (D, anti-codon, and T loops).
Source: RNAcentral